RNAcentral lists this ribosomal RNA (792 nucleotides) under uncultured archaeon. Its description in RNAcentral is "bacterial SSU rRNA". It matches the Rfam family "Archaeal small subunit ribosomal RNA", at positions 85 to 879 of the family's 1478-position model. The record is from RNAcentral.
ACGGCUCAGUAACACGUGGACAACGUGCCCUAAAGUGGAGCAUAAUCUCGGGAAACUGAGGAUAACUCUCCAUAGACCAUGAGAUCUGGAACGACUUAUGGUUCAAAGUUCCGGCGCUUUAGGAUCGGUCUGCGGCCUAUCAGGUAGUAGUGGGUGUAACGUACCCCCUAGCCAAUUACGGGUAUGGGCCUUGAGAGAGGGAGCCCAGAGUUGGAUUCUGAGACACGAAUCCAGGCCCUACGGGGCGCAGCAGUCGCGAAAACUUCACAAUGGGCGAAAGCCCGAUGAGGGAAUUCCUAGUGCUAGCACAUUUGUGUUAGCUUUUCCUUAGCGUAGAUAACUAGGGGAAUAAGGGCUGGGUAAGACGGGUGCCAGCCGCCGCGGUAAUACCCGCAGCCCGAGUGGUGGUCGAUUUUAUUGAGUCUAAAACGUUCGUAGCCGGUCUGAUAAAUCCUUGGGUAAAUCGGGAAGCUUAACUUUCCGAAUUCCGAGGAGACUGUCAGGCUUGGGAUCGGGAGAGGUAUGAGGUACUUCAGGGGUAGGGGUAAAAUCCUGUAAUCCUUGGAGGACCACCGGUGGCGAAGGCGUCAUACUAGAACGAAUCCGACGGUGAGGGACGAAGCCCUAGGUCGCAAACGGGAUUAGAUACCCCGGUAGUCUAGGGUGUAAACGCUGCAGACUUGGUGUUGGGGGCCCUUCGGGGGCAUUCAGUGCCGGAGAGAAGUUGUUAAGUCUGCUACUUGGGGAGUACGUCCGCAAGGAUGAAACUUAAAGGAAUUGGCGGGGGAGCAC